This 705-nucleotide ribosomal RNA is filed under the name Roseovarius sp. RNAcentral's name for it is "bacterial SSU rRNA". It matches the Rfam family "Bacterial small subunit ribosomal RNA", at positions 47 to 799 of the family's 1533-position model. Lineage: Bacteria; Pseudomonadati; Pseudomonadota; Alphaproteobacteria; Rhodobacterales; Roseobacteraceae. The record is from RNAcentral.
CGCUACCAUGCAAGUCGAGCGAGAUCUUCGGAUCUAGCGGCGGACGGGUGAGUAACGCGUGGGAACGUACCCUCUUCUGCGGGAUAGCCACUGGAAACGGUGAGUAAUACCGCAUACGCCCUUCGGGGGAAAGAUUUAUCGGAGGAGGAUCGGCCCGCGUUGGAUUAGGUAGUUGGUGGGGUAAUGGCCUACCAAGCCUACGAUCCAUAGCUGGUUUUAGAGGAUGAUCAGCCACACUGGGACUGAGACACGGCCCAGACUCCUACGGGAGGCAGCAGUGGGGAAUCUUAGACAAUGGGCGCAAGCCUGAUCUAGCCAUGCCGCGUGAGUGACGAAGGCCUUAGGGUCGUAAAGCUCUUUCGCCUGUGAUGAUAAUGACAGUAGCAGGUAAAGAAACCCCGGCUAACUCCGUGCCAGCAGCCGCGGUAAUACGGAGGGGGUUAGCGUUGUUCGGAAUUACUGGGCGUAAAGCGCACGUAGGCGGAUUGGAAAGUAUGGGGUGAAAUCCCAGGGCUCAACCCUGGAACGGCCUCAUAAACUUCCAGUCUGGAGUUCGAGAGAGGUGAGUGGAAUUCCGAGUGUAGAGGUGAAAUUCGUAGAUAUUCGGAGGAACACCAGUGGCGAAGGCGGCUCACUGGCUCGAUACUGACGCUGAGGUGCGAAAGUGUGGGGAGCAAACAGGAUUAGAUACCCUGGUAGUCCACA